GCCUUUGUGGCCUAAUGGAUAACACGCCGGCCUCCUAAGCCGGGGAUCACGGGUUAGAUUUCCGCUAGAGGUA
Molecule: transfer RNA, 73 nt
Filed under: Daphnia magna
Lineage: Eukaryota; Metazoa; Arthropoda; Branchiopoda; Diplostraca; Daphniidae
Rfam family: tRNA
About the family: Transfer RNA (tRNA) molecules are approximately 80 nucleotides in length.
Source: Rfam by way of RNAcentral